This 278-nucleotide ribosomal RNA is filed under the name uncultured Staphylococcus sp. RNAcentral's name for it is "partial 16S ribosomal RNA". It matches the Rfam family "Bacterial small subunit ribosomal RNA", at positions 83 to 355 of the family's 1533-position model. Lineage: Bacteria; Bacillati; Bacillota; Bacilli; Caryophanales; Staphylococcaceae. The record is from RNAcentral.
CCUUUGACGUUAGCGGCGGACGGGUGAGUAACACGUGGGUAACCUACCUAUAAGACUGGGAUAACUUCGGGAAACCGGAGCUAAUACCGGAUAAUAUUUGAACCGCAUGGUUCGAUAGUGAAAGAUGGUUUUGCUAUCACUUAUAGAUGGACCCGCGCCGUAUUAGCUAGUUGGUAAGGUAACGGCUUACCAAGGCGACGAUACGUAGCCGACCUGAGAGGGUGAUCGGCCACACUGGAACUGAGACACGGUCCAGACUCCUACGGGAGGCAGCAGUA